AUUCGCUGUGUGACUCAGGGCAAGUGUGCGCACCUCUCUGAGCCUCCGCGGCCUUCUCUAGCAAAAUGGUGGAGCCGGUACCCGGCUGUAAGGCAAGCUGGGAUGCGCGGAGUAGCGGGUGGAAAGCUGGACUGGAGUUCUCACUCGGCCGCUGGGUGACUUCGGUGCACUAGGGAUAGUAACAGUACCACCUCGUAGGGUUGUAGAAAGACCAAGUGAGUUAAUAUUUGUAAAGUGUUUAGAACAGCGUCUACUGCAUGGAAAGUAGUAUUUAUUUGUUAGAGAGACUCCAGGAGGUCUUGCCCAGGGAUUGACUUCUCCCUUCCCUGUCUCCACCCCCCACAUUCCCGUUUGUGAGCCAAGCCUUGCUUUUGCACCGGCCGGGCUCUCUUGCCUGGAAAUGCAUACCCAUCUCAAACCUGGGCUUUAAAAUCACCUCCUCUGGGACGCCUUCCUCUACUUCUCACAGUUCAGGCCUGUUCUGCCCCACACAGCAGAAAAUGCCCACGAUGCAAUACCAGAGUCUGCAUGGGACCAUUUCAACAACCCUUAGAAGCUGACUCAGCUGUCUCCUGGCCCUGACUUUUCUAAGAUGAGAGGAGCUGGUAGGAACAAUUUGGGAACCCUCAAAGGCUGAGAGUAUCCCACCCACUUCACAGAUGAAGCAAACUGAGGCCCAGAGAAGGGAAAUUACUUGCCCAAGAUCACCCAGCAAGUAAGAAACAGAGCUGGAGAUGAGCUCAGGCCAGCACGGAACCACGCAAACUCCUUCUGUAGGCUUUGUAAAGGAUUGAUGAGAAAAGCAGAUGGUUAAGAGCUCUACAACUUCUGUGAGGUAAAGAAUAUCUGCAGGGCUGGACGUGGCGGCUCUUGCCUGUAAUCUUAGCACUUUGGGAGGCCAAAGUGGGUGGAUUGCUUGAGUCUAUGAGUUCAAGACCAGCCUGGGCAACAUGGUAAAACUCUGUCUCUCUAAAAAAAAAAAAAAAAAAAAAUUAGCUGAGUGUGGUGUUGUGUGCUUGUAGUCCCAGCUACUUUGGAGGCUGAAGCGGAAGGAUCCCUUGGCC
RNAcentral lists this long non-coding RNA (1064 nucleotides) under Homo sapiens (human). RNAcentral's name for it is "non-protein coding SLC2A1-AS1:12". The record is from RNAcentral. Lineage: Eukaryota; Metazoa; Chordata; Mammalia; Primates; Hominidae.